Molecule: long non-coding RNA, 239 nt
Organism: Fukomys damarensis (Damara mole-rat)
Lineage: Eukaryota; Metazoa; Chordata; Mammalia; Rodentia; Bathyergidae
Exons: 3
Source: RefSeq, a predicted model, not a curated record
AGGGACUGAGGCCCAGUCUCUGAAUGGGAGCGACAUCAGGCUUCACAGACUGUCCAGCACGGGACUGAGACGUCAAAGGCCUCAGGCUUCUGAAUUUAUCUUGUGAUCUUUGAAACCAGCAACCUGAGAACAGAGCAGGGAGAGGAUGUGUCAGCCAUGGAUGCCAUGGUGCGAUCAACCUCAGGACCUUGAACUUGCCAGGCAGGCAUGGCCACUGAACUACAUUGACAGCCCAAGAG